Molecule: long non-coding RNA, 380 nt
Organism: Arabidopsis thaliana (thale cress)
Lineage: Eukaryota; Viridiplantae; Streptophyta; Magnoliopsida; Brassicales; Brassicaceae
Product: other RNA
Exons: 1
Source: RefSeq
CCGCGCGUUAAGGACACGUGCAAAGAGCUGGUGACGUCUUGGCAUCGUAAGCGCGAGAAGAAAGAACAUUCUAUUCCAGCGAACGUAAGUAGACCCCAGAACUCACACUCGCUCAGGGAAGCGCGUGGAGGGUGGAGUAACAGAGAGAGAGAGCCGUGAUGUGACGGUGUUAAUAACACGUGGAUCCCACGUGAUGGGUCCGUGCCAUCUCUGAGGACGUACAGUUUUUUUUUUCUUUUUUUUUGGGUUAUGAAUGAAUGAGAGAGCCCACGUGACCCGCCACCACUUCCUCUAUUCCUGUGCUUUCGUACUCAACUUUUGUCGCUUCUUUUUUUGGACUCACCGUUUUUUUUAAUAAUUACUCGAUUCCUCUUCGAAAC